AGCAGCCGCGGUAAUUCCAGCUCCAAUAGCGUAUAUUAAAGUUGUUGCAGUUAAAAAGCUCGUAGUUGAAUUUCGGGGUUUAUCCGUCGGUCGGGCUUUCGGGUCUGUACUGGCGUGAUGGAUUCCUACCUUCUGAAUAACCGGCAUGUCAUUAAUUUGGUGCGCCGGGGAAGCAGGACUGUUACCUUGAAAAAAUUAGAGUGCUUAAAGCAGGCUUAUGCCUGAAUACAUUAGCAUGGAAUAAUGAAAUAGGACGGCAUGGUUCUAUUUUGUUGGUUUCUAGGAUCACCGUAAUGAUUAAUAGGGAUAGUUGGGGGCAUUAGUAUUCAAUUGUCAGAGGUGAAAUUCUUGGAUUUAUUGAAGACUAACUUCUGCGAAAGCAUUUGCCAAGGAUGCUUUCAUUAAUCAAGAACGAAAGUUAGGGGAUCGAGGACGAUCAGAUACCGUCGUAGUCUUAACCAUAAACUAUGCCGACUAGGGAUCGGACGAUGUUAAUUUUUUAAUGACUCGUUCGGCGCCUUACG
This 524-nucleotide ribosomal RNA is filed under the name uncultured Acaulospora. Its description in RNAcentral is "SSU rRNA". It matches the Rfam family "Eukaryotic small subunit ribosomal RNA", at positions 569 to 1092 of the family's 1831-position model. Lineage: Eukaryota; Fungi; Glomeromycota; Glomeromycetes; Diversisporales; Acaulosporaceae. The record is from RNAcentral.